Molecule: ribosomal RNA, 253 nt
Filed under: uncultured bacterium
Lineage: Bacteria
Description: partial 16S ribosomal RNA
Rfam family: Bacterial small subunit ribosomal RNA
Source: RNAcentral
CACGUAGGGCGCGAGCGUUGUCCGGAAUUAUUGGGCGUAAAGAGCUCGUAGGCGGUUUGUCACGUCGGAUGUGAAAACCCGAGGCUUAACCUCGGGCCUGCAUUCGAUACGGGCUGACUAGAGUUCGGUAGGGGAGACUGGAAUUCCUGGUGUAGCGGUGAAAUGCGCAGAUAUCAGGAGGAACACCGGUGGCGAAGGCGGGUCUCUGGGCCGAUACUGACGCUGAGGAGCGAAAGCGUGGGGAGCGAACAGG